Molecule: long non-coding RNA, 656 nt
Filed under: Prunus persica (peach)
Lineage: Eukaryota; Viridiplantae; Streptophyta; Magnoliopsida; Rosales; Rosaceae
Description: long non-coding RNA (PPER_LNC001478)
Source: RNAcentral
CAAUCCCUAGCAUGCACCCUCCCCAUUUCAAUUCCUAUGUCAAAUCAAGGUACAAGAAAAAACUCAACAGCCACUCCCUAACCUCAGCGACGACCUUCCCACCCAUUCCUCGGAGAAGCUCAUUCCCGUCUGGAUGCGCAACUCGUCUCUCCUUCGAACUGCGCCGUUUCUCGCCUCCUUGGACUUCACCGAUUCUCUGUACUCCUCGAUCCUUGACAUGAUUUUGUAGUUGUUUUGAAACUUCAAGAUCCAAUGAAUUUCAAGGGUUUUUUGAGUAUCGACCCAGUUAGGGCAGGACGCUGGAGACGAUGAAAUGAGGAUGAGACAUUGGAGCAGAGGAAGAAGAAGAAUAAAGCUAAAAGAGAGUAAAAGUGGGUGGAAGGCAACUUCAUGGUAUCUCUUUGUCUUGGGUGGGGCUGCUGAGUUUUUUUUUGGGUUACCCUCGUUUGGACACAGGAAUGAAGAGGGGGAGGUGUCUGCUGGAGUUGGGAGCUAGUAUUGGCGCGAUUUUCUAUAUUAAAUGUAAUUGAUUUACUUUUAUUCUUGAUUUCUUGAUGUAAAUAGAAUUGGGAGUUACUAUUUUCCUUGACCUACUAGGUUUUAUUGUACUAUAAAUAUGGCCUCUUACAAAGAGGAGAAUACAUAGAAAAUUUCCA